Molecule: microRNA, 22 nt
Filed under: Bos taurus (domestic cattle)
Lineage: Eukaryota; Metazoa; Chordata; Mammalia; Artiodactyla; Bovidae
Description: bta-miR-12038
Source: miRBase by way of RNAcentral
UCUGCAGAAGCUGUCAGUGCCU